AAAUCGGUAGACGCUACGGACUUAAAAUCCGUCGACUUUAGAAAUCGUGAGGGUUCAAGUCCCUCU
RNAcentral lists this transfer RNA (66 nucleotides) under Hapaline sp. HAR 056. RNAcentral describes it as "partial tRNA-Leu". It matches the Rfam family "tRNA", at positions 13 to 64 of the family's 71-position model. From Rfam's summary of the family: Transfer RNA (tRNA) molecules are approximately 80 nucleotides in length. Their secondary structure includes four short double-helical elements and three loops (D, anti-codon, and T loops). Lineage: Eukaryota; Viridiplantae; Streptophyta; Magnoliopsida; Alismatales; Araceae. The record is from RNAcentral.